Pelobates cultripes (western spadefoot toad) is the source of this 520-nucleotide non-coding RNA. Lineage: Eukaryota; Metazoa; Chordata; Amphibia; Anura; Pelobatidae. The record is from the annotation of a GenBank genome assembly.
CUUGCACAUCGUACCCAGGGCUGGGUUUACAUGGUAGGUGCCUCUAGGUACAGAAUUCUAAGGUGUUCCCCACCAUCCCUCAAAGAAAGACAAAAAAAAAGAGAAUUUAGAUUGCAGGCAUACAAAAGUUUAUAAAACAUACAUUCGUAUCUAAUAACCGCACAUACAUGUAAGCAUAUUUCUGCUUGGAAUGCAUUUUGUAUGAAUCUGUGAAUACAUACAACUGUGUAAAUGCAUACAGGGUUAGAAUACGUUUUAGAUGUUGUUAGGGUAUAGGACAGUUUAAAGUCAGAGCGGUAUUAACGUCAGUUUGAUGACAUGUUAGUGUUAAAAGGAGGGGUGUUUCGAUUUAUUGGGUUUAGUGUGAGAGCGGAGUUAAAUGUAGUACUUGUGUACAGGGGGUAUUUAAUAUUAUUGAGUUUAGGGUUACUUAAGAGUUAAGUUUUUAGAGAUUACAUGUGUUAGGUAAUAUUAGUAUUAGGUUAGUGCUCAUAACACUCCUGAUUUUGGGGUCCUGUCC